CGGUGUUUAACUGGCGUGAUGUGGGACGUCCUACCGGUGGGCUUAGCCUCGCGAGGGGCGGCCCAACUAAUAUCCCGUCGCGGUGCUCUUUACUGAGUGUCGAGUCGGGCCGGUACGUUUACUUUGAACAAAUUAGAGUGCUUAAAGCAGGCUAUCCUCGCCUGAAUACUGCGUGCAUGGAAUAAUGGAAUAGGACCUCGGUUCUAUUUUGUUGGUUUUCGGAACCCCGAGGUAAUGAUUAAUAGGGACAGAUGGGGGCAUUCGUAUUGCGACGUUAGAGGUGAAAUUCUUGGAUCGUCGCAAGACGGACAGAAGCGAAAGCAUUUGCCAAAAAUGUUUUCAUUAAUCAAGAACGAAAGUUAGAGGUUCGAAGGCGAUCAGAUACCGCCCUAGUUCUAACCAUAAACGAUGCCAGCUAGCGAUCCGCCGAAGUUCCUCCGAUGACUCGGCGGGCAGCUUCCGGGAAACCAAAGCUUUUGGGUUCCGGGGGAAGUAUGGUUGCAAAGCUGAAACUUAAAGGAAUUGACGGAAGGGCACCACCAGGAGUGGAGCCUGCGGCUUAAUUUGACUCAACACGGGAAACCUCACCAGGCCCAGACACCGGAAGGAUUGACAGAUUGAUAGCUCUUUCUUGAUUCGGUGGGGUGGUGGUGCAUGGCCGUUCUUAGUUGGUGGAGCGAUUUGUCUGGUUAAUUCUGAUAACGAACGAGACUCUAGCCUGCUAAAUAGGCGUACCUUAUGGUAUCGCGAAGGCCCCCGGCUUCGGCCGGUGGGUUUUUACUACCAACGUACAAACAAAUCUUCUUAGAGGGACAGGCGG
RNAcentral lists this ribosomal RNA (820 nucleotides) under uncultured eukaryote. RNAcentral describes it as "SSU rRNA". It matches the Rfam family "Eukaryotic small subunit ribosomal RNA", at positions 629 to 1426 of the family's 1831-position model. The record is from RNAcentral.